AUGCCGUGGUCUUCGGGUCGUUCUCAGGCUCCCAGCUUCCGUCGAGCUUCCGGAAGGAGAGGGGACGAAUCGAGGUCGCCGGUGCCCUACCGUGAGAGCCCGAUGGCGUAUGAGCCGGAGAAGCUCUGCUGGUGCAGGCCGCGUAGGAAGGCGCCGAGAUGGAUCUCAUGGAGCCGCCAGAACCCAGGCAGGCGGUACUACGCCUGCGUGGAUGCUAUGGUAAGUUUUAUUUUAGUUAUAUUUUCUGUUCAUUAG
Molecule: ribosomal RNA, 255 nt
Filed under: Triticum aestivum (bread wheat)
Lineage: Eukaryota; Viridiplantae; Streptophyta; Magnoliopsida; Poales; Poaceae
Description: partial small subunit ribosomal RNA
Source: RNAcentral